ACUACAUGAGGAUCUAUUGCUCUGCAUCUCAAAGGGCAGAGAACAGACAGAGGAGGUCUUACAGACCUCUGGGCUGACAGUAUAGUGAAUGAAAGUGGUUCAGCUCAAAUGGUCAAGAAAUGGAGGAACAUGACCGUAUGGCCAAACAUUCCAGAGUUCAAAUGUGAGGAGGAUGUUAGAGACCUCAGAAGUGUGUGAUUAUGGAAAAGAGACAUCUGAGGGCAGUGGGGAUGCCACCCUGCCUGGCAUGUCUGUGUGGCACAGGUCAAGGAGAGCUGGACCUAAAAGCACCUCUACCAUCUCAGCUCAGGUCCAGAUCAUCACAACAGGCCUAAGCUUCUCCCUCCUAGUACGUCUUAAGAUCACAGUAAGUUAUGGUGACAACAGUGCAGAUUCCAAGCAACAAAAGGACUCUACUGGCCUUUUACAUACAGGAUGUUUACCUGUCCGUGGCCAGAUGUUCUGGACAGCAGAAAGCCAUAUUGUGCAAAAGACUGAGGAAGAAAGGACAGGAUGAGAAAACACUGCCAGGAGAACAGACAGAUAACAGGUGCAGGAUCACAGCCAGCAGCUUGCUGAUGUCCCAGUGCUCAGAAUCUGAGAACAUGAGGAUCUUCAUAGCUGAGCGGAUGUGGGCAUAAUCCUUUGCGUCAUUCCGGCCAUCACAGGACGUGCAGUUGCCCUGCAAGACACCAUACCCACAGAUUUUACAGCUCCUGCUCAGUGAAGGCAUAUUGAAUCAUCUGCAUCCCUUCGGCACAUUCCUGUUUGACAGCAAACUGAUUGGAAACUACUUUACAAGAAGAUGAGUGGACACUACAGGACCAGAAAUUGAUCUUUGGCACUUAUUCCAGGCAAGUCCAUAACCUCUCAGAACAUCCCCCAUGAAGAAGAGACACCUGUUCUGAUUUAAUCUUGACACUCAAAUGCAAAUUUUUUGUUUUCUUGUAGCUUUUUGAGAAGUUAUUUUAU
This is a long non-coding RNA of Calidris pugnax (ruff), 972 nucleotides long. RefSeq lists it as uncharacterized. The record is from RefSeq and is a predicted model, not a curated record. NCBI's taxonomy places the organism in Eukaryota, Metazoa, Chordata, Aves, Charadriiformes, Scolopacidae. The transcript is spliced from 5 exons.